AAAUAUCUAUUUAGUUGAUAAUUAAACAUGGGUAUCACCAUAUAAUAAGGACUCAAGAUCACAUCACUAUACAUUUUAUUUCAAAUGAUCCACAAAAUUAUUAUUAAAUAUUUAAUCAAUAUUUUUUAUUAUUACUGACAAGCUGUGCAUAUUGUGGAAGUUAAUUUGGAAACAAAAUCAUAGUUUAUGGCACAAGUUUUAAAAGAGUUUUCAUGGCAGCUACUGUGGCAGUCCAGAAAAUUUUGUGUUGUUACAUUAUUUUUAUUUGAAUUUUAUAAAAAUUGAAAUCGUUUCUUUUUCAUUACAUUUAAUAACACAUCACACAAAUACUUAUAAUGCUUCAUACUUAACCAGGCUUAGAAAAUUAAAUCAUCAAAACGUGUUUACGGAAAAGUAUGAGAAUUAGUGGUGGAUCGAGAAAGUUAAUGAGGGGUGCUAGCUAAGAUGAAUCUGAGUGAUUUCAUUGACAUGAAAAAAGAAUCAUAUUACAUAUUUAUUUAAAACUCUACCUUUUCUGCAAAUAAAUAUCGUAAACUAUAUUAAUUUGCUUGUUUAUAAUCGUAGUUCUAUCAUCUAUGUUAAAAAAGAAGAUUAAUUUAAGAGAACUUAACCUCAAAAAGUCCCUUUAAGCAAACUUCAACGUAUAAUUUUUAACUGUGUAACUUUACUCAUUUUUGAAUGAGCUUUUGAGGCUUGCCUAUAUAUUUUAAAUUUCUAAAGUUAUUUCUGUGCGUGAAAAAUAAUUUUAAGACUCCAAUAUGAGUAAUUAUCUAGUUAAUUUAGAUACAGAAAUUCCGGUAGUUUCGAGUAGCUACAAAUAAAAAAUAGCCUUGUGAGCAAUAUAUACUCGCGGUUAUUUUUAGUGAUUCAGACUUGAGCAUCAAUCCAGUGGACUUCGCAAAAAAUUACAUGUAUGAACAUUAUCAGUUAUUUAGUGUUAACCAAACUGAAGGUAUAUAAAAGUCUUGAUGCUCUUAAGUACUUUAAGGCAGGAUUUGUGAGUAACUUUGGAAAUUGAAAAGUUGUGGAUCACAUUAUAAUCAAGGCAAAAUAUGGAAUACGUCGAUGGUAUAAGAUACAAUAUAUCGUUGCCGUCCCUUUUGAAAGUCGAUUGUUGCUCAGCUGCUGAUACUUGAAUGUUGAUUCGCCUCUGUUUCUUACCCAGACUGCAAGAUAAGUUCUUCGAUACUUUUACAGGAGUCGAAAAACAUCCAGAAUAGUCAGUGCCCGCAGACUUAUAUAGUCAAAGGACAAGUUACAGAGGAAAGAAGAAUAAUUUAUCUCAACAAACAAAAGUGGAUAAUUCUCUAACAUACAGUCAGAGCUCUUCCAUAAUACUCGGUAAGUGUUUACUUUUAAAGUCGCAGAAGAAGUUAUUAAAAUCAUUUAUUAUUGGAACAAAAAUUUACAAUAAAUGAAAAUAUCUUGUUAGCAUAUAGUACCUGGGGUACAGGUAGUGCCAUAUGGUACUUUAAAGCGAGAUUAAGUGAGAAGUUGGUUACAGUAUUUUUAAACAAUAGUGUAUAGUGUCCUCUUUUGACAAGCUUUUAAAAAAGUUUUGCAGAAUUAGCUUCCGGAGUAACACUUUAAACCUGUUCACACUAAGAGUUCUAAUCUCUCUUGGCAACUGAUUGUAGUACCUUAGUCCUUGAAAUUCAAUCGACCUUUGGCCCAUUGUAGUUCCUGCUGAUGUGUGAUGGUCUGUUGAUCAGUUACACAGAAAAGAAGAAUAACUUGGUAAAUGCUUAUAUAUACAGCAAAGAAGAAAAAUCUAACCGAAUGAAUAAUACAAAGAACAAACACAAUCAAAACUCUUCUAGAAUAUUUAAUAACUUUAUACUAAUAUAGUCACAGGACGAGUUAUAGGAGAAAGAAGAAUAACUUAACCGACCAAACAUUUUUAAGAAAUAUUUUUCUGAUACAAUUGAAACUAUGAAAAUCCAAUAAGAAUAUUUAACUAACUACUUAUUUAAACAAAGAAAACUCUUCUGGAAUAUUUAAAGAGAGAAAGAGAGAGAGGUUCGUUGGUUUUUUUGUGGUUGGGAUGAGGAGGUUAUCCAUGUAAAGGAAGAGAUUUAUUUUGUUUGGACCUGAUGUUGGAAUUUCUCCUCUGCAGAGUUGGAGUUAUGGUAGACGGUAGACUGGUGUGUACUGCAUUAGGACGAAAAAGAAAACUGAAGCUAACAAUGGAAAAGAGAAAGAAAUGCCAGAUACAAAAAAGAAAAACCUCUUUUUCCAGAUAUUGGAGGUGUGUUGUUUAUUUGUUUUUGUUUAUAUUUUCUAAUGUUUUUUUCGUAUCUUCUAUAUUUCUUUGUUUAUCUAGGUAAACGGGUAAUUGGGUGCAUUAUUCCCUAUCGUCGGCCAUUUUAUUGAUGGAACGUUUCACCAGGUUACAGGAAAACCGCAUAAAACCUGCAACACCGACGAUGGACGAGGUGAGCUUUGGAAAUGGGUGUCAUAUAAUGGCCAUGGAGAAGUUAUCUAGAAAGUUCUUGAACAGGGGUGGGUAAAAACCGGCCCGAAGGCCGGAUUCUGUCCCGGCUCGUUGAGAAAUCCCGCAUGCAAUUUUUUUAUCCUUAAUAUUUGUUUUUGGCAAAAAACUCCAUCCACAACAUUCGUGCGUCCAUAGCAUACGAUCCCAGGCCCGAGAUACAUUUUGAAAAUCUCAUUAUGGCCCGCACUUAGAAGUAUUUGCCCGCUUCUGUUCUAAAACAUUCGAUAACUUGAUACUUAUAUAGUCAUACAACAAGUUACGGGAGAAACUUAACAGACCGAAGAGUUUCAAGAAAUAUUUUUUUAAUAUAAUUUAAACACAUAAAGAAUAUUUGACUGUUAUUUCUAAGAAUAUUCGAUUAUUACAAAUAUAAAUAGUCGUAGGUAAAUUGAAUAAAAAAGAAGAAUCUAUAAAACUA
This is a long non-coding RNA of Diorhabda sublineata, 2912 nucleotides long. RefSeq lists it as uncharacterized. The record is from RefSeq and is a predicted model, not a curated record. NCBI's taxonomy places the organism in Eukaryota, Metazoa, Arthropoda, Insecta, Coleoptera, Chrysomelidae. The transcript is spliced from 3 exons.